UAGAGGGGCCGCAGCUGCGAGCGACUGCUCAAGAAAACUGGUCUGGAGCGCCCUCGGCGGGCGCGGCGGUCUCACCCGGCCCGGCCCCUCAGACUUCUGCAGCUGCGGCGGCCCCCGGAGUGGGUCUACCCCGGGGCCUCAGGGGCAGUUCUCGGCCCACCCCGCGGGGAACCAGUAGGGAAACCGAGGCCCUCCCAAGCACGGAGUAAGGGCGGCCCUCUCCAAUUCGGCAGCCGGAUGCCAGCCAGGACUGUACUGUGUCCUUGGCCUGGGAAUUCCCCGGGCACCCGGCCCGCAGACCGAUGCCCCCAGUUCUGAGGACGUAUAGGUGUAGCUGCUCUAGAUCUACUUUUAUCGAUUCCCAGAGGUCUCGACACUCCACCCAGGUUGCGGCCCGCCUUCCUGGAGCCAGUAAUCCAUCCAACUGAAUACCUGCCAGACCCUUUGCUACGUGCUGGAGAUGCAGUGAGAGCAAAUUCAGAGCGCUGCUCUAAUGAACUUUACAGUCGUGAAUACUUAAUUGCUCAAGGGUAACUUUUCAAAGUUGACAACUUUUAAUAAAGGCCCUGAGUGCUAGGACCAUGAAUAAGCAAGAGACCUGAUCCAGACUUGGAGGUCAGGGAAAUGAUGCUGGAGAGCAGAGAGAUGAACAAGAGUUAAUUACAUGAAAAAGAGUAGGGCACUGCAAGAGAGCCUGGCCUGGUGAGAGAACUGCAAGAUCUGUAUGACAGAUCCUAAAGAGGGGGACAGUGGGGGAGAUGAGGCUGCAAAGAUCACCAAAACAGUAGGUCAUGGAAGGAGUUGUGGUCUGGACCCUAAAAGGAAUGGGGAGCCACUGAAGGAUUUUAACCAGGUGUAUCCAAAAGAUGUUGGGAGGAGCCAAACUGGAUGUGUCAAGAGGAGAUGAGCAGGACUCCUGGAGAAAUGACAGUCCCUUGCUGCUGCGUUUAAUUGGAGAGGAUCUCAGAGACCCGAGAUUAUAAUUAUGACACGUUAAAUGCCGAGCUCUUCAAAAGUCUGCCCUUGCCCUCGCUGUCACCCUGAACAGCUCUGAGAACCCAAACCCUGCAGCCCCCAGAGUGUGCCCUGGGUCUCUCAGCCAGGCCUCACCUGGGAAAUCUGAGUGAUGGUGACGUGCAGGCAGCAGGAAGACACACAGUAAACCUAGGAGCCUGUGAUGAGCUCAGGAGAGUUUAAGGCCCCCUUGGAAACCACAUGUUGGAGAUGGCAGAGCCACAAGGUGGAAGGAUCCCGGUCCCUAAAUCAUCACUUGGAGGACACACACCACUGAUCAGGAACACCCACAAUCACGAAGAAUGAC
This is a long non-coding RNA of Orcinus orca (killer whale), 1321 nucleotides long. RefSeq lists it as uncharacterized. NCBI's taxonomy places the organism in Eukaryota, Metazoa, Chordata, Mammalia, Artiodactyla, Delphinidae. The record is from RefSeq and is a predicted model, not a curated record. The transcript has 4 exons.